GACGAACGCUGGCGGCGUGCCUAAUACAUGCAAGUAGAACGCACAGUUUAUACCGUAGCUUGCUACACCAUAGACUGUGAGUUGCGAACGGGUGAGUAACGCGUAGGUAACCUGCCUGGUAGCGGGGGAUAACUAUUGGAAACGAUAGCUAAUACCGCAUAAUAUUGAUUAUUGCAUGAUAAUUGAUUGAAAGAUGCUAUUGCAUCACUACCAGAUGGACCUGCGUUGUAUUAGCUAGUAGGUGAGGUAACGGCUCACCUAGGCGACGAUACAUAGCCGACCUGAGAGGGUGAUCGACCACACUGGGACUGAGACACGGCCCAGACUCCUACGGGAGGCAGCAGUAGGGAAUCUUCGGCAAUGGACGAAAGUCUGACCGAGCAACGCCGCGUGAGUGAAGAAGGUUGUCGGAUCGUAAAGCUCUGUUGUAAGAGAAGAACGGGUGUGAGAGUGGAAAGUUCACACUGUGACGGUAUCUUACCAGAAAGGGACGGCUAACUACGUG
Molecule: ribosomal RNA, 505 nt
Filed under: uncultured bacterium
Lineage: Bacteria
Description: partial 16S ribosomal RNA
Rfam family: Bacterial small subunit ribosomal RNA
Source: RNAcentral